UUAACAGAGGAAAAAAUACAAAACACAAGCUACAUAUUCUGAUAUGAAUGAUGAACAAUAACAACAUUUUAAAAAUAGGGAAAAUAGAGUUAAAAUUUAACAUAUGAUGACUGUCAUGGAGUUUCCGCCCAUAACAAAGAUGGCCGUCGAAACGGUGACUCACUGUACUGUACUGCGGCCGACAUCAUAAUCGUGCGCCACAGUCUGUGCUGCACGCAGCGCCCCCCAGGAGUGCAGGGAACGUAGCUUCUGCUAUAAGCACUUCUGAAGAAAUCCAUUAUUGCAUAUAUUUAAAGAAGACAGCAUGGAGGCUCCGAAGGACGCUCCUCCACCCAAGCAGCAGCCGAUGAUCUAUAUUUGUGGAGAAUGCCACAAAGAAAAUGAAAUAAAAGCCAGAGAUCCCAUCCGAUGCAGAGAAUGCGGCUACAGGAUUAUGUACAAGAAGAGGACAAAGCGAUUGGUUGUGUUUGAUGCUCGUUAAAGUGGACACCUCCCCGGCUCGCAGGACCUGUUUGUUGUAUUAUUGGUUUUUAGUGGACUCAUUCAUAUGAAUAUUUUCUUUGAGAAUCUAAAAAGUAUGUGAUAUUUCUGUAUGAAACUGUAAAUUAAUGCUUGCUUGGUAAUAAACAUUUUGUAA
This is a long non-coding RNA of Pseudophryne corroboree (corroboree frog), 637 nucleotides long. RefSeq lists it as uncharacterized. NCBI's taxonomy places the organism in Eukaryota, Metazoa, Chordata, Amphibia, Anura, Myobatrachidae. The record is from RefSeq and is a predicted model, not a curated record. The transcript is spliced from 4 exons.